AGAGUUUGAUCCUGGCUCAGAACGAACGCUGGCGACGUGCUUAACACAUGCAAGUCGAACGCGAAAAGGGACUUCGGUCCUGAGUAAAGUGGCGCACGGGUGAGUAACGCGUGGAUAAUCUACCCAAUGAUCUGGGAUAACAUCUCGAAAGGGGUGCUAAUACCGGAUAAGACCACGGAGUCUCUGGAUUCUGCGGUAAAAGGUGGGGACCUUCGGGCCUACCGUCAUCGGAUGAGUCCGCGUACCAUUAGCUAGUUGGUGGGGUAAUGGCCUACCAAGGCUACGAUGGUUAGCUGGUCUGAGAGGAUGAUCAGCCACACUGGAACUGAGACACGGUCCAGACUCCUACGGGAGGCAGCAGUGGGGAAUUUUGCGCAAUGGGGGAAACCCUGACGCAGCAACGCCGCGUGAGGGAAGAAGGCUUUCGGGUUGUAAAAUCCUGUCAGAUGGAAAGAAGUGCAUAGUGGGUUUAAUACCCGCUAUGUUUGACGGUACCAUCGAAGGAAGCACCGGCUAACUCCGUGCCAGCAGCCGCGGUAAUA
RNAcentral lists this ribosomal RNA (542 nucleotides) under bacterium enrichment culture clone Cont39_3130. RNAcentral describes it as "bacterial SSU rRNA". It matches the Rfam family "Bacterial small subunit ribosomal RNA", at positions 8 to 525 of the family's 1533-position model. The record is from RNAcentral.